ACGAUGAUGGUCCUCUGUGGACAUCUUACUAGACAGUGCUGGAUUGUGUGCUCUGAUUCUAACACUGUCUGGUAACGAUGUUCAAAGGGUGAG
This is a non-coding RNA of Anolis carolinensis (green anole), 93 nucleotides long. RefSeq annotates it as microRNA mir-200a. The record is from RefSeq and is marked provisional. The transcript has a single exon. Lineage: Eukaryota; Metazoa; Chordata; Lepidosauria; Squamata; Anolidae.